UCGCAGAGGAAACGUCACCAUCUUGAGCGUGGCGGUUGAGGAGCGGCUUUGUCAAGGUGCCAUCUUGAACGCUGCGGCAGUCAAGCGAAGGCUUGAAGUGCACAGAUGGGAUCAAUCUCUGUGAUAUGAACAAUUGCUCCCAGAGCCUUCAGAGCUGCACAGCAUCCCUUUCCAACCUGCGAUACCCAAAAAGAAACACAAAAUCAGAAGCUGGAAAACAAUGUCUUGUCUACCUCAAAAGCAACGAUUACAAGGAAGAAGUUGAUAGGCCAAAUAUGCUUCUUGAGCUAAUACUUCUGGAUCAGCAGAAGAUAAAUCAAAGGAAAAUAAAUAUUAUUAAAAGGGAGACACUUACCAGAACUGUAGCUGUCUGUGGAAGACUGUGAAAUGGAACGAGACAGGGAUCUGCGACCAGUCUUUGUGGGAAAUUUACUGAACUCCUGCAUAUCAUCUGCAAACUGGAUUUGCUAUACACAAAAAUUAAGAAGUUACUAUUGUUUUUUUAAAGGUCAACAAGCUUAAUUCUGCAACUAUUAAAACAUAAGCAACGUAAGAUCCCAUAA
This is a non-coding RNA of Pantherophis guttatus, 563 nucleotides long. Lineage: Eukaryota; Metazoa; Chordata; Lepidosauria; Squamata; Colubridae. The record is from RefSeq and is a predicted model, not a curated record.